GGGCCAGUAGCUCAGUGGUGAGAGCGGCGGGGCUUUCAACCCCAGCAGGUCGUGGGUUCAAAUCCCAUCUGGUCCA
Molecule: transfer RNA, 76 nt
Filed under: Candidatus Berkelbacteria bacterium
Lineage: Bacteria; Candidatus Berkelbacteria
Description: tRNA-Glu
Rfam family: tRNA
About the family: Transfer RNA (tRNA) molecules are approximately 80 nucleotides in length. Their secondary structure includes four short double-helical elements and three loops (D, anti-codon, and T loops).
Source: RNAcentral